CUGACGUUAGCGGCGGACGGGUGAGUAACACGUGGGUAACCUACCUAUAAGACUGGGAUAACUCCGGGAAACCGGGGCUAAUACCGGAUAACACAUGAAACCGCAUGGUUUCAUGAUGAAAGACGGUUUUGCUGUCACUUAUAGAUGGACCCGCGGCGUAUUAGCUAGUUGGUAAGGUAACGGCUUACCAAGGCAACGAUACGUAGCCGACCUGAGAGGGUGAUCGGCCACACUGGAACUGAGACACGGUCCAGACUCCUACGGGAGGCAGCAGAU
Molecule: ribosomal RNA, 276 nt
Filed under: uncultured Staphylococcus sp.
Lineage: Bacteria; Bacillati; Bacillota; Bacilli; Caryophanales; Staphylococcaceae
Description: partial 16S ribosomal RNA
Rfam family: Bacterial small subunit ribosomal RNA
Source: RNAcentral